RNAcentral lists this ribosomal RNA (306 nucleotides) under Triticum aestivum (bread wheat). RNAcentral describes it as "partial small subunit ribosomal RNA". The record is from RNAcentral. Lineage: Eukaryota; Viridiplantae; Streptophyta; Magnoliopsida; Poales; Poaceae.
GCCGGCGAAACCGCGGUGGAGGAGGUUGUGCGCGAUGCUGUCCCUCUCCUGCUUGGCGGUCUCAGAGCGAACAGGGGUCUCCGGCGUGGUGUCGUCGUCGAAGAGCGCAAACGGGACCUCCGGCUCGAGCUCCUCGCGGCGCAUCUCGCAGAUGUUGUGCAGGACGCAGCAGGCGCCCAGCACCACGGGGAGGUCCUGGAGCUUCACCUCCGUGCGCUUCUGGAGGCACGCCCACCGCGUCUUGAGCCGCGCGAACGCCUCCACGGCCACGUUGCGGAUGUCGCCGACCUUCUCGUUGAAGGCGUG